This 587-nucleotide long non-coding RNA is filed under the name Pongo abelii (Sumatran orangutan). Its description in RNAcentral is "lincRNA". The record is from RNAcentral. Lineage: Eukaryota; Metazoa; Chordata; Mammalia; Primates; Hominidae.
AAAGGAGGGAAAGGAGACCCUGCUAAUUAUACGGCAACCUUGGAAUCGGUUUCUCCCGCUGAACUAGAGGACAAGCCACACACCUGCAGAACUUUACCAGCAGGAGCAGUGCCGGGGCCCAACUCAGGCAGCCAGCUCUGCUAAUGAACCCAGAAAAAACGCACAAACUUGUUUUCCCUCCAAGAUAGAGACGACACAGUGGGGUUUUCAUAAGUGUGUGGUGUGGAGGCAGCCAGGUGUAGCCACUGCACAAAUGCGGUGGGAACACUCUCGUAUGAUAAAAUCAAAGACGCCUGCUUCCACACGACAGAUCCAGGAAACUGCAGGAUAGAGUCAUGCUCGUGUGCCCGGGCAGGGAGAGCUGGUUCACCCAUGUCUGAACACUGCGACACCAGUUCUCCUCCAAACAUCUUGGGCUACUUAAAUGCAAACACAAAUUCAGGAAAGCCCGGAGGCCUGGUAUAGAUGUUUUCAUCAAAAAUUUCACCAUGCUGUGUCAGAAAUCAGAAGAUAGAAUUUAAAACCAUCCCGUUUCCUCUGCAGAAAGCUUUUCAAGAAGAUACACUCGGAAUUAGCAAUAUUUCCAC